UACAGAGGAGCCAAGCGUUGUCCGGAAUCAUUGGGCGUAAAGAGCGUGUAGGCGGCCAGGUAGGUCGGUUGUGAAAACUGGAGGCUCAACCUUCAGAGGUCGACCGAAACCAUCUGGCUAGAGUCCGGGAGAGGAGAGUGGAAUUCCUGGUGUAGCGGUGAAAUGCGCAGAUAUCAGGAAGAACACCCGUGGCGAAAGCGGCUCUCUGGAACGGUACUGACGCUGAGACGCGAAAGCGUGGGGAGCGAACAGG
RNAcentral lists this ribosomal RNA (253 nucleotides) under uncultured bacterium. Its description in RNAcentral is "partial 16S ribosomal RNA". It matches the Rfam family "Bacterial small subunit ribosomal RNA", at positions 524 to 776 of the family's 1533-position model. The record is from RNAcentral.